This 232-nucleotide ribosomal RNA is filed under the name uncultured bacterium. RNAcentral's name for it is "partial 16S ribosomal RNA". The record is from RNAcentral.
CUGCUGCCUUCCGUAGGAGUCUGGGCCGUAUCUCAGUCCCAAUGUGGCCGUUCAUCCUCUCAGACCGGCUACUGAUCGCAGCCUUGGUGGGCCGUUACCCCACCAACUAGCUAAUCAGACAUGAGCCCAUCCUUCAGCGAUAAAUCUUUGAUAUCCAGGAGAUGCCUCCCGGAUAUGUUAUGCGGUAUUAGCAGUCGUUUCCAACUGUUGUCCCCCUCUGAAGGGCAGGUUG